This 502-nucleotide ribosomal RNA is filed under the name uncultured bacterium. Its description in RNAcentral is "partial 16S ribosomal RNA". It matches the Rfam family "Bacterial small subunit ribosomal RNA", at positions 28 to 523 of the family's 1533-position model. The record is from RNAcentral.
GAUGAACGCUAGCGGCAGGCCUAACACAUGCAAGUCGAGGGGCAGCACAGAAACAGCAAUGUUUUGGUGGCGACCGGCGGACGGGUGCGUAACGCGUAUGCAACCUACCUUUAACAGGGGGAUAACGGAGAGAAAUUUCCACUAAUACCCCAUAACAUCGAUCAAGGCAUCUUGAUUGGUUGAAAACUCCGGUGGUUAAAGAUGGGCAUGCGUUGUAUUAGGUAGUUGGUGAGGUAAUGGCUAACCAAGCCUACGAUACAUAGGGGGCCUGCGAGGUUAGCCCCCCACACUGGAACUGAGGCACGGACCAGACUCCUACGGGAGGCAGCAGUGAGGAAUAUUGGUCUAUGGGGGCAACCCUGACCCAGCCAUGCCGCGUGCAGAAAGCCAGCUCUAUGAGUUGUAAACUGCUUUUAAACAGGGAUAAAGCACAGUAUGUAUACUGUGUUGAAGGUACUGUAAGAAUAAGGAUCGGCUAACUCCGUGCCAGCAGCCGCGGUAA